RNAcentral lists this ribosomal RNA (464 nucleotides) under uncultured bacterium. RNAcentral's name for it is "bacterial SSU rRNA". It matches the Rfam family "Bacterial small subunit ribosomal RNA", at positions 917 to 1382 of the family's 1533-position model. The record is from RNAcentral.
GGACCCGCACAAGCAGCGGAGCAUGUGGUUUAAUUCGAAGCAACGCGAAAAACCUUACCAAGACUUGACAUCGCAUGAAGGAUACAGAAAUGUAAACGUCCCUUCGGGGACAUGCAGACAGGUGGUGCAUGGUUGUCGUCAGCUCGUGUCGUGAGAUGUUGGGUUAAGUCCCGCAACGAGCGCAACCCUUAUCAAUAGUUGCCAAUAUUAAGUUAGGAACUCUAUUGAGACUGCCGUGGAUAACACGGAGGAAGGUGAGGAUGACGUCAAAUCAUCAUGCCCCUUACGUCUUGGGCUACACACGCGCUACAAUGGCUAUUACAAAGAGCAGCGAAAUGGUAACAUGAAGCCAAUCUCAUAAAGAUAGUCUCAGUUCAGACUGUGGGCUGCAACCCGCCCACACGAAGUUGGAGUUGCUAGUAAUCCCGAAUCAGCACGUCGGGGUGAAUUCGUUCCCGGGUCUU